GUGCCAGCCGCCGCGGUAAUUCAGAGGUCCCGAGCGUUGUUCGGAUUUACUGGGCGUAAAGGGAGCGUAGGCGGUUUGGUGUGUCGAAUGUGAAAGCCCACAACUCAACUGUGGAAUGGCAUUCGAAACUACUGAGCUAGAGUACUGGAGAGGAGAGCGGAAUUCUUGGUGUAGCGGUGAAAUGCGUAGAUAUCAAGAGGAACACCGGUGGCGAAGGCGGCUCUCUGGACAGAUACUGACGCUGAGGCUCUAAAGUUAGGGGAGCAAACAGGAUUAGAUACCCUGGUAGUCCUAACCAUAAACGGUGUACACUUGGUGUGCGAGGAAUUGUCCCUUUGCGCGCCGCAGCUAACGCGAUAAGUGUACCGCCUGGGGAGUACGGUCGCAAGAUUAAAACUCAAAUAAAUUGACGG
This 413-nucleotide ribosomal RNA is filed under the name uncultured bacterium. Its description in RNAcentral is "bacterial SSU rRNA". It matches the Rfam family "Bacterial small subunit ribosomal RNA", at positions 505 to 916 of the family's 1533-position model. The record is from RNAcentral.